CAUGCAAGUCGAACGAUGAUGCCCAGCUUGCUGGGUUGAUUAGUGGCGAACGGGUGAGUAACACGUGAGUAACCUGCCCUUGACUUCGGGAUAACUCCGGGAAACCGGGGCUAAUACCGGAUAUGAGCCGUCCUCGCAUGGGGGUGGUUGGAAAGUUUUUCGGUCAGGGAUGGGCUCGCGGCCUAUCAGCUUGUUGGUGGGGUGAUGGCCUACCAAGGCGACGACGGGUAGCCGGCCUGAGAGGGCGACCGGCCACACUGGGACUGAGACACGGCCCAGACUCCUACGGGAGGCAGCAGUGGGGAAUAUUGCACAAUGGGCGAAAGCCUGAUGCAGCGACGCCGCGUGAGGGAUGACGGCCUUCGGGUUGUAAACCUCUUUCAGCAGGGAAGAAGCGCAAGUGACGGUACCUGCAGAAGAAGCGCCGGCUAACUACGUGCCAGCAGCCGCGGUAAUACGUAGGGCGCAAGCGUUGUCCGGAAUUAUUGGGCGUAAAGAGCUCGUAGGCGGUUUGUCGCGUCUGGUGUGAAAACUCGAGGCUCAACCUCGAGCUUGCAUCGGGUACGGGCAGACUAGAGUGCGGUAGGGGAGACUGGAAUUCCUGGUGUAGCGGUGGAAUGCGCAGAUAUCAGGAGGAACACCGAUGGCGAAGGCAGGUCUCUGGGCCGCAACUGACGCUGAGGAGCGAAAGCAUGGGGAGCGAACAGGAUUAGAUACCCUGGUAGUCCAUGCCGUAAACGUUGGGCACUAGGUGUGGGGCUCAUUCCACGAGUUCCGUGCCGCAGCAAACGCAUUAAGUGCCCCGCCUGGGGAGUACGGCCGCAAGGCUAAAACUCAAAGGAAUUGACGGGGGCCCGCACAAGCGGCGGAGCAUGCGGAUUAAUUCGAUGCAACGCGAAGAACCUUACCAAGGCUUGACAUGCACGGGAAGCCACCAGAGAUGGUGGUCUCUUUGGACACUCGUGCACAGGUGGUGCAUGGUUGUCGUCAGCUCGUGUCGUGAGAUGUUGGGUUAAGUCCC
RNAcentral lists this ribosomal RNA (1021 nucleotides) under Cellulosimicrobium sp. 1_16. RNAcentral's name for it is "bacterial SSU rRNA". It matches the Rfam family "Bacterial small subunit ribosomal RNA", at positions 54 to 1088 of the family's 1533-position model. Lineage: Bacteria; Bacillati; Actinomycetota; Actinomycetes; Micrococcales; Promicromonosporaceae. The record is from RNAcentral.